This 460-nucleotide ribosomal RNA is filed under the name uncultured bacterium. Its description in RNAcentral is "partial 16S ribosomal RNA". It matches the Rfam family "Bacterial small subunit ribosomal RNA", at positions 338 to 795 of the family's 1533-position model. The record is from RNAcentral.
CCUACGGGGGGCAGCAGUGAGGAAUAUUGGUCAAUGGCCGUAAGGCUGAACCAGCCAAGCCGCGUGAGGGAAGACUGCCCUAUGGGUUGUAAACCUCUUUUAUGCGGGGGUAAAGGUGUCCACGUGUGGAUGUUUGCAGGUACAGCAUGAAUAAGGACCGGCUAAUUCCGUGCCAGCAGCCGCGGUAAUACGGAAGGUCAGGGCGUUAUCCGGAUUUAUUGGGUUUAAAGGGAGCGAAGGCGGGUCUUUAAGCGUGCCGUGAAAUUUUGUGGCUCAACCAUGAGACUGCGGCGCGAACUGGAGACCUUGAGUGCGCGAAAGGCAAGCGGAAUUCGUGGUGUAGCGGUGAAAUGCUUAGAUAUCACGAGGAACCCCGAUGGCGAAGGCGGCCUGCUGCAGCGUUACUGACGCUGAGGCUCGAAAGCGCGGGGAUCGAACAGGAUUAGAUACCCGAGUAGUC